CGAUGAAAGACGUGAUAGCCUGCGAAAAGCUUCGGGGGAGGUGGCAAUGUACCUUUGAUCCGGAGAUAUCUGAAUGGGGAAACCCACCCGCUGUAAGGCGGGUAUCAUACACUGAAUACAUAGGUGUAUGAGGCGAACGAGGGGAAGUGAAACAUCUCAGUACCCUCAGGAAAAGAAAUCAAUUGAGAUUCCCUAAGUAGCGGCGAGCGAACGGGGACCAGCCCUUAAGUCAAUUAUGUUCUAGUGGAACGCUCUGGAAAGUGCGGCCGUAGUAGGUGAUAGCCCCGUACACGAAAGGGCAUAAUUGAUGAAAACGAGUAGGACGGGACACGUGAAAUCCUGUUUGAAUAUGGGGGGACCAUCCUCCAAGGCUAAAUACUCCUGACUGACCGAUAGUGAACAAGUACCGUGAGGGAAAGG
Molecule: ribosomal RNA, 420 nt
Filed under: uncultured bacterium
Lineage: Bacteria
Description: bacterial LSU rRNA
Rfam family: Bacterial large subunit ribosomal RNA
Source: RNAcentral